Molecule: ribosomal RNA, 752 nt
Filed under: Escherichia coli
Lineage: Bacteria; Pseudomonadati; Pseudomonadota; Gammaproteobacteria; Enterobacterales; Enterobacteriaceae
Description: bacterial LSU rRNA
Rfam family: Bacterial large subunit ribosomal RNA
Source: RNAcentral
CUUGAAAUACCACCCUUUAAUGUUUGAUGUUCUAACGUUGACCCGUAAUCCGGGUUGCGGACAGUGUCUGGUGGGUAGUUUGACUGGGGCGGUCUCCUCCUAAAGAGUAACGGAGGAGCACGAAGGUUGGCUAAUCCUGGUCGGACAUCAGGAGGUUAGUGCAAUGGCAUAAGCCAGCUUGACUGCGAGCGUGACGGCGCGAGCAGGUGCGAAAGCAGGUCAUAGUGAUCCGGUGGUUCUGAAUGGAAGGGCCAUCGCUCAACGGAUAAAAGGUACUCCGGGGAUAACAGGCUGAUACCGCCCAAGAGUUCAUAUCGACGGCGGUGUUUGGCACCUCGAUGUCGGCUCAUCACAUCCUGGGGCUGAAGUAGGUCCCAAGGGUAUGGCUGUUCGCCAUUUAAAGUGGUACGCGAGCUGGGUUUAGAACGUCGUGAGACAGUUCGGUCCCUAUCUGCCGUGGGCGCUGGAGAACUGAGGGGGGCUGCUCCUAGUACGAGAGGACCGGAGUGGACGCAUCACUGGUGUUCGGGUUGUCAUGCCAAUGGCACUGCCCGGUAGCUAAAUGCGGAAGAGAUAAGUGCUGAAAGCAUCUAAGCACGAAACUUGCCCCGAGAUGAGUUCUCCCUGACUCCUUGAGAGUCCUGAAGGAACGUUGAAGACGACGACGUUGAUAGGCCGGGUGUGUAAGCGCAGCGAUGCGUUGAGCUAACCGGUACUAAUGAACCGUGAGGCUUAACCUUACAACGCCGAAG